GCAUAGGACUGUUCCAGAUCCCCUGAAGGAGGAUGUCAGUUUGGAGGUCUGAGCAAUCUAUGGAGCCACCAGUAGUGGAUCAGUAUUUACCCCUAGUACACAUAUGGACUUUGGGAGCCCUCUCCACAUAGAGGGAUACUCUCUCAUCCUAGACACAUGGGGGAGUGAUGGGGGAAAUACUUCUGUGUAUGUUUAUAAAUAAAGUACUUGCUUGGCCAAUGAGACAGCAGGUUAGGCUGGACUAGGAGUCAAAGAGGAUUCUGGGAAAUGUAGUAGAGAAGUGGUGUUCCAGACAGGAAGUGACAUAGCAAGGAGACUCAUAUUUAAGAAGAGGAAAAAGGAAGUGUCGCUCUCUUUUCCCCUUGGCUCCUGCUCCAGCGGCACAAUGUUAUUCACCAGCAAGGAGGGACGCCAAUAAGGCGUCCGAUAAGAUAAGUCCCAUAAAAUAUAUAGAUGUAUGAGAUCUAUGAAGUGCCUAACUCUCACAGCUCUUCCUGGAAACACUUACCUCCUCUAAAUUCCAUCAACUUUGAAAGUCACUGAAUUGAAGACAUGGCUUUUGGAGCUGUAAAAAGGGAGGCCAGAGAAUUCCAGAGUCAAGGAAUCAACCAGGAAUCCCAAGGGAGAGGUCUGGAAUGCCACAGCUUUAGGACAUUUGCAAGCCAAUUGAUUUCAGCUAAAAGACUCCUGUUUCUAAAGGGAAGACAACACUCAAUAUCAAUGCCUGAAAUGCAAGGGUAAGUUACUUGAAUUUCAUCCAUGGGAGAUAAAAAGUCACUGAACAUUUAAUAGCUCUGAUUUAGCAGGGUCAAUGUAUUUCAGGAUUUAAGGUAAACUGAAUAGUGACUUUUACUGGGUCAGGGAUAGUGAAGAGGACUAAAAGCUGGGGACUGUACUAGGGCAUUGUAGAUGACCUCAGAUGAUAUGUUAUUUUGUACAUUUGGAUGGUCAACAACAUACUCAUAUGACUGUAUGUCUGGGUGUUAGCGGUUAAGUUGAGUUUCCACAUCCAGAUUCACUUGUCAGAUGUAUCUUGAAAUGUUACCUUAUUUGGGAAUAGGGUCAUUGAUAAUGUACUUAUUUAAAGGGACACCAUAUUGGAGCAGAGUUAGCCCCUGUUCUCCUGGAAAGAAAAUGGAUGUGGAUUUCCACAGGGUGAUCACCCUGUGAAGAUGAAAAGCAGAGCUGAGAGGAGCCUUACUACCAAUAUAUUACAACCUUGGUUUUCAGCUUUUAAAAUCCUAAAUGUGAAGACAAUAAAGUUCUAUAUUUAAGCCAUCCAGUCUAUGAUUGUCUGCUAUGAUAACCCCAUGAAGCUAACAUACUAAAAUGAAUAAUUAGAAAUCAUUAAUACAAUUAAAGAAGCCAAGAAGGUACAUCUACUGAGGUAAAGAGGAAAGUGGAAACAGGCAAUGCUUCAAGAUUUUGGCAUGUUUGGCUCAUUGAAAGAGAUAUAUAAGAGACAUGGGUGCAAAUUGGAAUUUUCGUGUGAUGGGGUGAGAAACAUGGUCCCCAUUAAUUGAGUUGGAAAGCAGGGCAUUACGUGAAAAGGACAGAGCUCAUUUUCUGCAUGUAACUAAUGAAUCUGUACUUGAAAAGCAUGCUGUCUCCAAAGCCUUAGGUGCAGAGAGGAACCAAUUAGGCAAAUUGAGUGAAAUUCAGAUAAGGAAUUUAUGAGAAUGGAAGAUGGGCUUUGAGAAAAGAUGAAAGGGAAGAAAUGUACUUAGUUAGACUAAGUGAUGAUUAGGUGGAAUUUGACGAUAAGGGGUACACGUUUUAAAGAGGAAGUAUCAAAUAAGCAGCAAAGUGAUACAAAGAAAGAUGCAAGCACUGUGCCAAUUUUAUUUUUAUAAACAGGAAAAUAUAUUAGUAAUACACCCUUGAUAAAACAUUUCUAACAAGCUAACAAAUGCAGAAGUCACAAAAUGAAUAAGUUAGAUUACAAAUGUUUUAAAGUUUGAAACAAUUUUUUUUUUUUUUUUGAGAGAGAGAGCGCCGGGGGGGGGUCUUUCACUCACUCUGGACACCAUGCUGGCCUCAAACUCACAGAGAUCUUCCUGCCUCUGCCUCCCGAGUGCCGGGAUUAAAGGCGUGUGCUACCAACGCCCGGCUUAAAGUUUGAAGCAAAUUUUAAGUAUGCAUUAUAAGCAAAAAGAAAUAAAAAUGAGAAAAAGUGUAUCUACAAACAGUAUAUAGGUAAUUGGUUGCAUUUAUGAAGUAAUCUUAUUAGUAAAAACUUCAGUAUAUUUAAUUCUAAGUUAGGAAAUUUAUAGGAAAUAUUAAUAUGUUAAGUAGGUAAGUAGUUGAAAAGAUGCUUCAAGUGACUAUUUUUCAAAUCAUGUAAAUUCAAACUACAGUUUUCUUGUUUUAAGUCCUGAAAUGUUGGUCAGCACUCAGUACAACUGGCACUCUUGUAUUUUAGUGAGGGG
Molecule: long non-coding RNA, 2429 nt
Filed under: Cricetulus griseus (Chinese hamster)
Lineage: Eukaryota; Metazoa; Chordata; Mammalia; Rodentia; Cricetidae
Description: lncRNA (ENSCGRG00000025450.1)
Source: RNAcentral